RNAcentral lists this transfer RNA (64 nucleotides) under Omalisus fontisbellaquei. RNAcentral's name for it is "tRNA-His". The record is from RNAcentral. Lineage: Eukaryota; Metazoa; Arthropoda; Insecta; Coleoptera; Omalisidae.
AUUUAAAUAGUUUAAUUAAAAUUUUAGCUUGUGAUGUUAAAGAUAUAUUUAUGUAUUUUAAGUA